UACGGGGGGUGCAAGCGUUAAUCGGAGUUAUUGGGCGUAAAGGGUGCGUAGGUUGUUCAUUAAGUUAUGUGGGAAAUACCUAGGCUUAACCUAGGGAUAUCGGAUGAUACUGAUGGACUUGAGUGUAGUAGAGGGUAGUGGAAUUUCCGGUGUAGCGGUGAAAUGCGUAGAGAUCGGAAGGAACACCAGUGGCGAAGGCGGCUACCUGGACUAACACUGACACUGAGGCACGAAAGCGUGGGUAGCAAACAGG
Molecule: unclassified non-coding RNA, 253 nt
Filed under: uncultured Legionellales bacterium
Lineage: Bacteria; Pseudomonadati; Pseudomonadota; Gammaproteobacteria; Legionellales
Description: contains 16S-23S intergenic spacer region
Rfam family: Bacterial small subunit ribosomal RNA
Source: RNAcentral